AUGGCUCAGGAUGAACGCUGGCGGCGUGCCUAAUACAUGCAAGUCGAACGGAGAUAUUGUAGCAAUACGGUAACUUAGUGGCGAACGGGUGAGUAACGCGUUGGUGACCUGCCCCGGAGAGGGGGAUAACAGUUCGAAAGGAUUGCUAAUACCCCAUACGGUCAUAGAGAUUAGAGGCUCAAUGACCAAAGGCGAAAGUCGCUUCGGGAGGGGCCUGCGUCCCAUCAGCUAGUUGGUAAGGUAACGGCUUACCAAGGCGACGACGGGUAGGGGACCUGAGAGGGUGGCCCCCCACAAUGGAACUGAAACACGGUCCAUACACCUACGGGUGGCAGCAGUAGGGAAUAUUAGUUAAUGUGCGAAAGCGCGAACUAAGCAACGCCGCGUGUGCGAUGAAGGCCUUCGGGUCGUAAAGCACUUUUCGAGAAGAUGAGGAAGGACAGUACUCUCGGAAUAAGUCUCGGCUAACUACGUGCCAGCCGCCGC
This 486-nucleotide ribosomal RNA is filed under the name uncultured bacterium. RNAcentral describes it as "bacterial SSU rRNA". It matches the Rfam family "Bacterial small subunit ribosomal RNA", at positions 19 to 518 of the family's 1533-position model. The record is from RNAcentral.